UAAAAUGUAUAUAGUCCAAUUCAUUAUUUAAAGCCUAAAUAAGAGUAUAAAUUGUUUUUAUAUUCGAAUUCAAAUCAAGAACUACUAAUUAUGAGUAUAAUAUUUAAAAUUGCAAAUUCAAAUAAUGAACUCCUAAAUAUUAGUACAAACUAUUUUAUAUGGCGUCCCUAUGGUUUAGCCCCCUAAUGUCAGGAAUGAGAGCUGCCCACUACCUCAAUAUGAAUUAUGAAAUUUGAACAAAAAUAAAGCCAAACCAUACUGCCUGGUGUGAGAAAAAGAGCAAUUUCACAGUGACAAAGAGCAACGCAAUUAGCAGGAUUUCUCAAAGAGACUUUGCAUCUAAAAAUGCACUGGAAUUACACAACCAAGACAGGAUGGACACAUCUGACCAACAAAAUUUUCCCGCUAAUUUGACAAUCUAAGGAUCAGUCAAAAACAUCGAGCACAUUUUGAGCAUAUGAUAUAGUUUAUACCAUAUGACUCAGAGGUCUGCCAGUUCUUGGGGGUGCAUCUAUAUUUGCGGAGUUGACAUGUNGUACACUCUUCUCUCUCUCUCUCUUCUCUCCCCUCUCCCUCUUCGGCUCUCCCUCUCUCUCUCGUCCUUGCCGCCGCUCCACAGUCGCCGGCCACCGCUGCACAGCGAACCACCACCAGCGCGACGCACAGCGGCAACAGAUCCUCUCUUCUCUCUCUCUCUUCUCUCCCUCUCCCUCUCCCUCUCCGGCUCUCCCUCUCUUCUCUCUCUGUGCUGCAGUUUCGAUCUCUCUCUCUAGGGUUUUGUUUGGUCCUCUUCCUUUAUAAGAGAUCGUUUCUUCUUCACCGAAGAAUUUUCCAGCGUCUGAGGAGGAUUGAAGAAUUUCGAUCUAAUGUGAUCAACGUUGUAGUGAUUUUGUCGAGAUUGAAGAAUUUCGAUCUAUUUUUCCUUCACAAUUUAUGUCGAGAGUUUUGUUUUAGCUUUGAUGAAUGAGAAAUAGAUGUGAGGGAUAGGCUGAGGAAGGAGGUGUUGGUGUCGCUGCGGAGGGCGCUUCAGCUGCCGGAGGUGUAUCUUGAGAAAGUGAAGUCGGGCAAAGCCAAGAUCGCCGCCGGCGCAUUGCUUCCUCAUAGAUAAUCGCGUCCUUGGAUGACGAAGAUGACGCGGCCAAGUGCGAGCUUCAAUGGAAGAGAAUGGUGGAGGACAUGGCCAAGGUUGGGAAAUUGAGCAAUUGCCUUGCAAUCUGUGACGUUUCUGGGAGUAUGGAUGGAAUCCCUAUGGAGGUUUCGGUGGCGCUAGGAGUUCUGGUGUCGAGCUAAGCGAGAGCCAUGGAAGGGGAAGCUCAUCACCUUCAGCGAAAAUCCUCAGCUCCAGAUAGUGAGAGGGGAAAGCUUGAAAGAGAAACUGAGUUUGUGAGAAGAAUGAGUGGGGGAUGAACACUGAUUUCCAAAAGGUGUUCGAUGUGAUACUGAAAGUGCGGAAAGGGGAAGCUGAAGGCGAGGAGAUGAUAAAGAGGCUUUUGUGUUCAGUGAUAUGUAAUUCGAUGAGGCUUCGAUGAAUCCGUGGGAGACGGAUUAUGGGGCGAUCGUGAGGAAGUACAAGAGAAGGGAUACGGAAUGUUUGCCGGAGAUUGUGUUUUGGAAUUUGAGGGAUUCGAGGGGACGCCGGUGCCGGCAAACCAGCCGGGUGGCGCUUGUGAGCGGCGCACUUCUCCAAAAUCUGAUGAAGAUAUUUCUUGAAAAGGUGGAGUGAUGGAUCAGGUGGCGUGAUGGAAGCUGGAUUGCUGGUAAAAAAUAUCAGCAGCUGUUGUGCUGGAUUGAUAUAGUUAGAUAGCAUGAGUUUGGAUCUUUGUUAGCAGUGUAAAAUUUUUGAUUAAUCAAUGUGGAUGAACUUGGUUUGUGACUCUUUGAUUUUGAAGGAUUUAAUCAAUGAUUAUGAAAAAAUGAGAAAUAGAUGUGAAAAAACAGAGGAAUUUUUUUUCACUAAUGCAUAGUUGAUUUAGAUAACAAUUAAUUUUCUGUUGAGCUAUAUUUUUUAGGAAUUUGUAAAACGAUAAUAUGUUUAAUGUUCUUAAAUUCACAACUAGAUUUAUGAAUUAACAAUUAGAUCUAUGAAUUCACGACCACAUUUAUGAAUUCACAACUAGAUUUAAGAAUUCACAAUCAGGUCGAUGAAUUCACAACUUAAUGUUCUUGAAUUCACAACUAGCUCGAUCAAUUCACAACUUAAUAUUCUUGAAUUUACAACAAAAUCUAUAAAUUCACAAUCAAAAUAAAUUACAAUUUUAAUUGUGAAUUCAAACUUUAAAAACUCAAAUUCACAACUACUUGAAUUUACAACCAAAAUAAAUUCUAGUUGUGAAUUAAAUUCUGAUUGUGAAUUUUACUGGUUGUGAAUUCCCAACCAAAAAUCUGGUUGUGAAUUAAAUUUUGGUUGUGAAUUCACAACCAAAAAAUUCUGGUUGUAAAUUAAAUUUUGGUUGUGAAUUCGACUGGUUGUGAAUUAAAUUUUAACUGUGAAUUCGACUAGUUGUGAAUUCACAAACAAAAUUCACAAUUCACAACCAGUGUGAAUUCACACACUGGUUGUGAAUUGCGGGAUUUUUUAAAGGGGUAAUAUAAAGUGGACUAUUUUUUUAUUUUUAAUGUGAAAGGAUAUUUUGGUAACAGUGGCCAUUUUUUAAUGUUUUUAUCUUAGUGGACAAUUUUUAAUUUUACAAUAUGAAAGUGGCCAUUUUAAAAAUCCACUCUUCUUUUACACCCUAUAUAAUAGAUACAUAUUUUAGGGCCCAAAUUUUCUUAAUUGACGGGCUUGUAAAAUGUAUAUAGUCCAAUUCAUUAUUUAAAGCCUAAAUAAGAGUAUAAAUUAUUUUUAUAUUCGAAUUCAAAUCAAGAACUACUAAUUAUGAGUAUAAUAUUUAAAAUUGCAAAUUCAAAUAAUGAACUCCUAAAUAUUAGUACAAACUAUUUUAUAUGGCGUCCCCAUGGUUUAGCCCCCUAAUGUCAGGGAGGAGAGUUGCCCACUACCUCAACGUGGCUUUUUGGCACCAAUUCCCCCCUUAUCGAUAAGGGUCCCCCUCACGUUUAGCCCCCUAAAGUCAGGGAGGAGAGCUGCCUCCAUCGAAAGGCUGGGUGGGUGGGUGGGUGCGUGGGCGGGUGGGUGGAGGGGGGGGAAUUGGUGUCAAACAGCCACGUUAAGGUAGUGGGCAACUCUCCUCCUUGACAUUAGGGGGCUAAACCAUAGGGACGCCAUCAAUAGGGGACAAUCUGAUACUUAACCCUUUAUUAAAUUAAAAUACAAAAAAAUUGUGUUUAUAAUUAUCUAACACUAUGAAUCGAGGGUGACUAAACAUUUGGUCAAACCAAUAUGAAUUAUGAAAUUUGAACAAAAAUAAAGCCAAACCAUACUGCCUGGUGUGAGAAAAAGAGCAAUUUCACAGUGACAAAGAGCAACGCAAUUAGCAGGAUUUCUCAAAGAGAUUUUGCAUCAAAAAUACACUGGAAUUACACAACCAAGACAGGAUGGACACAUCUGACCAACAAAAUUUUCCCGCUAAUUUGACAAUCUAAGGAAUCAGUCAAAAACAAUCGAGCACAUUUUGAGCAUAUGAUAUAGUUUAUACCAUAUGACUCAGAGGUCUGCCAGUUCUUGNGGUGCAUCUAUAUUUGCGGAGUUGACAUGUAAAACAUCGUCUAACUAUUCAUAUCCACUCCGAGUAAAAGCAAAGCAGCCAAACAACUCAAGAGAGAGAGUCCCAAUAAAAGCAUACCUGCUGAAACUUCUCAUGAUAUCAUUCAUCUAUCAACGAAUGCAACUGUUUCCUGAAACUUGAUAUCUUACUAGCUUCAACAGCCAUCACUAAACCCAUCGGCCGAUAAUUUUUUAGCUGCAUCUUCGUGAAAAUUCAAAUCAGCAAGAAACAAUUUCUUAUGUAAGAAGAUCAAUGCAUUUGCUUAAGAGAUGAAUCACAAUAAUAAUAAUGCACAUGAAAGCAUCAUCGAUGCAUCAGGAAAACAUCAUGUAAAGAAACCUGAAGUAAAUGGAAAAGCCAUGCUCACCUUAGAUUACUAGAAAGAUUUUAAAAUGAUCAAAUGGAAUGUGUAUUUUUUUAAUUUAUAGCAGUCUCUAUUGUGUCCCUUUCUAGCACCAAGGUACUUCAAAUAUAAGAAAAUGUGAGGAUACAUCACAUUUGCACAAUACAGAACCAAAUAAAUGCACAAAACGAUGUAUAACAAGUAAUGUAGUUUCAAAACUGGGAAUACAUGAACAAGAGAAGGGUCCGAAGGAGUGGUCUUUUUUAUCUUAAUAUGAUGGGUAAUCAGUGAUUAUUAGUGAACAGCUGACCUCCUAACUAUACGAGGCUGUCUUAUAUUUUAGAGAUAUCAUCUUAA
This 4362-nucleotide long non-coding RNA is filed under the name Salvia miltiorrhiza (redroot sage). RNAcentral describes it as "long non-coding RNA (SMIL_LNC005139)". Lineage: Eukaryota; Viridiplantae; Streptophyta; Magnoliopsida; Lamiales; Lamiaceae. The record is from RNAcentral.